GAUGAACGCUGGCGGCGUGCCUAAUACAUGCAAGUCGAGCGAACAGACGAGGAGCUUGCUCCUCUGACGUUAGCGGCGGACGGGUGAGUAACACGUGGAUAACCUACCUAUAAGACUGGGAUAACUUCGGGAAACCGGAGCUAAUACCGGAUAACAUUUUGAACCGCAUGGUUCAAAAGUGAAAGACGGUCUUGCUGUCACUUAUAGAUGGAUCCGCGCCGCAUUAGCUAGUUGGUAAGGUAACGGCUUACCAAGGCAACGAUGCGUAGCCGACCUGAGAGGGGGAUCGGCCACACUGGAACUGAGACACGGUCCAGACUCCUACGGGAGGCAGCAGUAGGGAAUCUUCCGCAAUGGGCGAAAGCCUGACGGAGCAACGCCGCGUGAGUGAAGAAGGUCUUCGGAUCGUAAAACUCUGUUAUUAGGGAAGAACAUAUGUGUAAGUAACUGUGCACAUCUUGACGGUACCUAAUCAGAAAGCCACGGCUAACUACGUG
Molecule: ribosomal RNA, 497 nt
Filed under: uncultured bacterium
Lineage: Bacteria
Description: partial 16S ribosomal RNA
Rfam family: Bacterial small subunit ribosomal RNA
Source: RNAcentral